GCGGACGUGGUGCACGGUGUAUCGCUGCACUUAAUAAAUCUGCUGCUAUCCAUUUGAUGCAGCUGCUGGGGUUCGACUCCCCGCGUCCGCA
Non-coding RNA from Mycena leptocephala, 91 nucleotides. Lineage: Eukaryota; Fungi; Basidiomycota; Agaricomycetes; Agaricales; Mycenaceae. The record is from the annotation of a GenBank genome assembly.